UACGUAGGGCGCAAGCGUUAUCCGGAAUUAUUGGGCGUAAAGAGCUCGUAGGCGGUUUGUCGCGUCUGCCGUGAAAGUCCGGGGCUCAACUCCGGAUCUGCGGUGGGUACGGGCAGACUAGAGUGAUGUAGGGGAGACUGGAAUUCCUGGUGUAGCGGUGAAAUGCGCAGAUAUCAGGAGGAACACCGGUGGCGAAGGCGGUUCUCUGGGCAUGACCUGACGCUGAGGAGCGAAAGUGUGGGGAGCGAGCAGG
Molecule: ribosomal RNA, 253 nt
Filed under: uncultured bacterium
Lineage: Bacteria
Description: partial 16S ribosomal RNA
Rfam family: Bacterial small subunit ribosomal RNA
Source: RNAcentral